Long non-coding RNA from Xenopus tropicalis (tropical clawed frog), 686 nucleotides. RefSeq lists it as uncharacterized. The record is from RefSeq and is a predicted model, not a curated record. Lineage: Eukaryota; Metazoa; Chordata; Amphibia; Anura; Pipidae. The transcript is spliced from 8 exons.
AGCAAGAGAUUCAAGUGCUCUCUGCUGCCACCAAGUGGCUAGCAUUUCUCCUAUAAAUACCUGCUCAGAAGGCCUGCCGGUCCUUUAUGCAAUGGCUGCUCUAACUCCUACAGGUUUAUUUUCGGCAAAAGCCCAGAAAUAAAUGGAUAAAUAGAUAGAAGAUCGAACAACUGAUGAGUAAAAGAUCCGAGACUGGCUCUAUUCACUGACACAGGUUUAUUUUCGGAAAAAGCCCAGAAUUAUAUGGAUAUAAAAGUAGAAGAUUGAACAAAUGAAGGGUAAAAGAUCUGGCAUUGGCUCUAUUCACUGACACAGGUUUAUUUUCGGAAAAAGCCCAGAAUUAUAUGGAUAUAAAAGUAGAAGAUUGAACAAAUGAAGAGUAAAAGAUCUGGCAUUGGCUCUAUUCACUGACACAGGUUUGUUUUCAGUAAAAGCCCAGAAAUAAAUGGAUAAAAAGAGAGAGAAGAUCGAAGAAAUGAUGAGUAAAAGAUCUGAGAUUCACUGACACAGAUACAUAACACAGUGACGCCUAAAAUGAACAAGAGAAAAUGGAUAAUAAGAUGACUUGCUGGAUCAGAUUCUACAAAGCUGCCUUCCUAUCACAAUAAAGGGUUUUCUGUCAAUUGUUUGUGUUUUUGAAAAUGUUAUGUAUGUUAUGUUAUGUAUUAAACUUUAUCUUUACAUAA